RNAcentral lists this ribosomal RNA (253 nucleotides) under uncultured bacterium. RNAcentral describes it as "partial 16S ribosomal RNA". It matches the Rfam family "Bacterial small subunit ribosomal RNA", at positions 524 to 776 of the family's 1533-position model. The record is from RNAcentral.
GACGAAGGGGGCUAGCGUUGUUCGGAAUUACUGGGCGUAAAGCGCGCGUAGGCGGCCCUGUAAGUCCGUUGUGAAAGUCGAAGGCUCAACCUUCGAAAGCCGAUGGAUACUGCAGGGCUAGAGUCCGGAAGAGGCGAGUGGAAUUCCUGGUGUAGCGGUGGAAUGCGCAGAUAUCAGGAGGAACACCAAUAGCGAAGGCAGCUCGCUGGGACGGUACUGACGCUAAGGCGCGAAAGCGUGGGGAGCGAACAGG